GCUCAGGAUGAACGCUAGCUACAGGCUUAACACAUGCAAGUCGAGGGGCAUCAGGAAGAAAGCUUGCUUUCUUUGCUGGCGACCGGCGCACGGGUGAGUAACACGUAUCCAACCUGCCCUUUACUCGGGGAUAGCCUUUCGAAAGAAAGAUUAAUACCCGAUAGCAUAAUGAUUCCGCAUGGUUUCAUUAUUAAAGGAUUCCGGUAAAGGAUGGGGAUGCGUUCCAUUAGGUUGUUGGUGAGGUAACGGCCCACCAAGCCUUCGAUGGAUAGGGGUUCUGAGAGGAAGGUCCCCCACAUUGGAACUGAGACACGGUCCAAACUCCUACGGGAGGCAGCAGUGAGGAAUAUUGGUCAAUGGGCGCUAGCCUGAACCAGCCAAGUAGCGUGAAGGAUGAAGGCUCUAUGGGUCGUAAACUUCUUUUAUAUAAGAAUAAAGUGCAGUAUGUAUACUGUUUUGUAUGUAUUAUAUGAAUAAGGAUCGGCUAACUCCGUGCCAGCAGCCGCGGUAAUACGGAGGAUCCGAGCGUUAUCCGGAUUUAUUGGGUUUAAAGGGAGCGUAGGUGGACUGGUAAGUCAGUUGUGAAAGUUUGCGGCUCAACCGUAAAAUUGCAGUUGAUACUGUCAGUCUUGAGUACAGUAGAGGUGGGCGGAAUUCGUGGUGUAGCGGUGAAAUGCUUAGAUAUCACGAAGAACUCCGAUUGCGAAGGCAGCUCACUGGACUGCAACUGACACUGAUGCUCGAAAGUGUGGGUAUCAAACAGGAUUAGAUAUCCUGGUAGUCCACACAGUAAACGAUGAAUACUCGCUGUUUGCGAUAUACAGUAAGCGGCCAAGCGAAAGCAUUAAGUAUUCCACCUGGGGAGUACGCCGGCAACGGUGAAACUCAAAGGAAUUGACGGGGGCCCGCACAAGCGGAGGAACAUGUGGUUUAAUUCGAUGAUACGCGAGGAACCUUACCCGGGCUUAAAUUGCAGUGGAAUGAUGUGGAAACAUGUCAGUGAGCAAUCACCGCUGUGAAGGUGCUGCAUGGUUGUCGUCAGCUCGUGCCGUGAGGUGUCGGCUUAAGUGCCAUAACGAGCGCAACCCUUAUCUUUAGUUACUAACAGGUUAUGCUGAGGACUCUAGAGGGACUGCCGUCGUAAGAUGUGAGGAGGGUGGGGAUGACGUCAAAUCAGCACGGCCCUUACGUCCGGGGCUACACACGUGUCACAAUGGGGGGUACAGAAGGCAGCUAGCGGGUGACCGUAUGCUAAUCCCAAAAUCCUCUCUCAGUUCGGAUCGAAGUCUGCAACCCGACUUCGUGAAGCUGGAUUCGCUAGUAAUCGCGCAUCAGCCACGGCGCGGUGAAUACGUUCCCGGGCCUUGUACACACCGCCCGUCAAGCCAUGGGAGCCGGGGGUACCUGAAGUACGUAACCGCAAGGAUCGUCCUAGGGUAA
This 1440-nucleotide ribosomal RNA is filed under the name uncultured organism. RNAcentral describes it as "SSU rRNA". It matches the Rfam family "Bacterial small subunit ribosomal RNA". The record is from RNAcentral.